GCAGAUAUGGCUUAGUGGUUAAAAGCCUAGCUAGUUGCUUUUUCAGAAGACCUGGGUUCAAUUCCCAAUAUCUACU
This 76-nucleotide transfer RNA is filed under the name Neotoma lepida (desert woodrat). It matches the Rfam family "tRNA". Rfam says of the family: Transfer RNA (tRNA) molecules are approximately 80 nucleotides in length. Their secondary structure includes four short double-helical elements and three loops (D, anti-codon, and T loops). The record is from Rfam by way of RNAcentral. Lineage: Eukaryota; Metazoa; Chordata; Mammalia; Rodentia; Cricetidae.